This is a non-coding RNA of Caenorhabditis elegans, 140 nucleotides long. Lineage: Eukaryota; Metazoa; Nematoda; Chromadorea; Rhabditida; Rhabditidae. The record is from Ensembl.
GCCUUUUCACAUGAGAUUGCAAGUUUCUGAAACCAAUAAAUUAAUACAGUGACGGUAGUUGUUAAAUCAAAACCUUUUCAUUGACACAAUCUUUUCCAAACACUUCUGUAGACAUUUGAAUUCGUUCAAAACGGUAUAUA